AGUCCUUAACCUCUGGACGGACAUCCAGCAAAAAAUCCUAUCACCAUUAGCAUAACGAAAUGUAAUAUAUAUAUUUUUUCAAAUAUAGGACUAUGUUAUAUCGUUUUAUAGAUACACCUCUCCUGAAUCGAACCACGUUGUCCGAUUUCAAAAAGGCUUUACAGCAAAAGCAAAACAUUAGAUUAUGUUAGAGGAGUAUAUCGUAAAAGUAGCCACAUAGCCAUUUUCCGACCAACCACAUGCAUCACAAAUAACCAAAAAACAGCUAAAUGCAGCACUAACCUUUGACAAUCUUCAUCAGAUGA
Non-coding RNA from Salmo salar (Atlantic salmon), 305 nucleotides. Lineage: Eukaryota; Metazoa; Chordata; Actinopteri; Salmoniformes; Salmonidae. The record is from RefSeq and is a predicted model, not a curated record.